UCUGUGGCAGCUGAAGAACAUCAGAGGUGUGGGCCAUGUAAAGGACACACUUACAUGGUUAAUGACCCCACAAAGCUAUUGCUUUCUUCUCAUCUAUUUUCUGCCCUUAUCACAUAAUUAAUCACUAUGUACAAGCUUUGAGGACGGAUCAAGUUGCCUGGGGGUAGCUGCGAUUGCUCACUUGUUACUUGGACUCUCCACUCGCAGGGCUUCCCUUCCUCCACCUUUAAAAAGACAAAUCCAUGAAGAACAGAGCUGAGGCACUGUCAUUCCUGUCCAGCUGCUGAAGAUAUGAGAAGCCAAGCAGAAGGUUGCUGUAUUAGGAUGCGUAGAGUGGAGAGGAAAACCAGAAUCCUUUCUCAGGUCAUGUGAGGUAAGUAGGAAGGAACUGGCUCACAAUAUUUAAUCUGCUGCCACGAACACCUUGCAAAUAUUAACUAAUCCUCACAAAAAUCUUGUGAGAUACAUUAAUAUAAACCAUUUAGAUGUAUUUCAGCAAACAGUGAGUGUGCCCAGUGCCUGCCUGGGUGCUUUGGCAGUGCCUCAGGAGCUGAUGUUCAGUCAGACAUCUUCUGAUGCUCUCCCAUCCGAUUGGCUUUCAUGUCAGCAGAACACAAAUCAACAUCAUGUUGAAGGUUCAAGACAAACUGGGAUUUAGGAUUUUGUGGAAAUCCAUGCUGGGAUGAUGGGAGGAGUGUGGUUUUCCAGGGUUGGGAUGGCAUCAGCUCAGUUUUGGAACUUUUGGGAUUGGUCCAGGUGUGACUCAGUAAAAUUUGAGUGUGUGGCACACAGACAGCAAAGAAAUUCUCUGUUUUGAGAAUUCUCACCCCUCGGACCAGCAGGCUAAGAGGUGUUUUCCCAUGAGAGGCACAUCCUUGUACCUAACCCAGGAAUUUAACACAGCUCUUCAAUAACUAAGCUUAGACUCUCAAGUUCUGUCUCCUCAGCUUUAUUUAACAUAACUUUAACUUCAUUUAGCUCAUUUCUACAAAACGUCUUCCACUCAUUUACGCUGGUGAGCACAGAAAGAUGACUUUUUUCCUCCUUUUUGGUAGAACAGGAUUUCACUGGCAAGAAGAACCUGGUUGUCCAUCAACAUAAGGGCAUAUUUCAGCUUCCUCUCACAUGCUUAGAUGUAAAAGAGAUAGAAGCAUUUGCAUCACAUUCCUGUUGAGAGGAAGACACGGGUUUCAUUCCUCUUUUUCAUUCCCACUCCAUUGGAACUGGCAUGAACACAGACGACGAGCAGUGACCCAUUCUGUUAAGAUUUAAAUUUAGCAAGGAACUGGAAAAUCUCUGGGAGCUUUACCUCUAACCUCUGCUUCAGAAAAAAAUAUGCAUAAUUCCUGUCUUACUGCUAAAUUUGAGUUAAUUUCAAAAGCCAGGCCAAUAAAAGAACUGUCCAACGCAAA
Tympanuchus pallidicinctus (lesser prairie-chicken) is the source of this 1412-nucleotide long non-coding RNA. RefSeq lists it as uncharacterized. Lineage: Eukaryota; Metazoa; Chordata; Aves; Galliformes; Phasianidae. The transcript is spliced from 2 exons. The record is from RefSeq and is a predicted model, not a curated record.